This 253-nucleotide ribosomal RNA is filed under the name uncultured bacterium. RNAcentral describes it as "partial 16S ribosomal RNA". It matches the Rfam family "Bacterial small subunit ribosomal RNA", at positions 524 to 776 of the family's 1533-position model. The record is from RNAcentral.
UACGUAGGUGGCAAGCGUUGUUCGGAAUUAUUGGGCGUAAAGGGCGCGUAGGCGGUUCGUUAAGUCAGUUGUGAAAGCCCGGAGCUCAACUCCGGAGAGUCGACUGAUACUGGCGAGCUAGAGUACGGAAGAGGUAGCUGGAAUUCCCGGUGUAGCGGUGAAAUGCGUAGAUAUCUGGAGGAACACCGGUGGCGAAGGCGGCAUCCUGGACCAACACUGACGCUGAGGAGCGAAAGCCAGGGGAGCAAACGGG